GGACGAUAAGGGCAAACUCUUCGAAAGAAGGGGACGCAAAGCUUACGGGACUAAACUCCGAACAAGCGGAGUAAGUCGGCCGGGCCGCCGUU
Molecule: non-coding RNA, 92 nt
Organism: Armatimonadetes bacterium RBG_16_58_9
Lineage: Bacteria; Bacillati; Armatimonadota
Source: Rfam